UACGGGGGGGGCAAGCGUUGUUCGGAAUUACUGGGCGUAAAGGGUCCGUAGGUGGCUUGCUAAGUCAGACGUGAAAUCCCUCGGCUUAACCGGGGAACUGCGUCUGAGACUGGCGAGCUUGAGUGCAGGAGAGGAACGCGGAAUUCCAGGUGUAGCGGUGAGAUGCGUAGAUAUCUGGAGGAACACCGGUGGCGAAGGCGGCGUUCUGGACUGCAACUGACACUGAAAGACGAAAGCCAGGGGAGCAAACGGG
Molecule: ribosomal RNA, 253 nt
Filed under: uncultured bacterium
Lineage: Bacteria
Description: partial 16S ribosomal RNA
Rfam family: Bacterial small subunit ribosomal RNA
Source: RNAcentral